Long non-coding RNA from Argiope bruennichi, 372 nucleotides. RefSeq lists it as uncharacterized. Lineage: Eukaryota; Metazoa; Arthropoda; Arachnida; Araneae; Araneidae. The record is from RefSeq and is a predicted model, not a curated record. The transcript has 3 exons.
UAGACAAGAAGUGAUUGAGGUGCGCUGGCAGAAAGAUGACGGAAAGUUUGACUGCUUUUCGGAAAGACGCUUCCUUUCUUGGUUUAUUUGCUCGGCUCGGAUAAAUGAAAUAAAUAUGACUGGGAAAAGAUGGAGCCGCAUGUGGGUGGAAGGGAGCUUAGGAUAAAUAUAGCAGAGGGAAAAGGAUUCGCAGCUUGGAUUUUCCGGUGCUGGUCAGUGUUCACUCUCUCGAUUCCUACUGAAGGGUUGGGCUUCCUUGCAGUUCCGGCAGUUCUUCUGUAGUAAUAUUUUUGCGAAAUGGCCGACGACGAUAGAGAAUACAGUGAGGAGGAGGAAGAAGAGGAAGAGGAAGGAACUGGAGUAGAAGAAAAG